GUCAAGUAGUUUUAUUUUGUUUUAUCACCUUUUCAGGGUUUCGUGAAGUCAGGAGUUGGGGCUCCUCUUUGUUUUUUGUUCUGCUUAGUAGAUUUGUUUUUGGGGUUCGCAUUAUCUUUUAUGGAGAUGGAUAGGUAUUUCCUCGUUGCCUUACUUAGUAUACUUCUUGCAUAACAAAGAAACCAAGGAGAAAAUAAAUUGAGAUUGACUACCAGGGAGUGAUUGGUAAUGCUAAUUCAGGGAUUGAUGUUCGUCUACCCUCUGACAAACUAUUAUACAAUCAAUUAAAUAUGAACUAUGAUUAUGAGUUGUGCCUCUCCAUUGCAAUUAGGGUGUGCUCUGGAGUUUCUCCCUUGCAUGAACACAACAUGUGUCAUGUUGGCAGGUACUUGAUGACACUGAUACUUGGACAUUCAUACAUGUUAAAUUGUUAUUCCUGUAUUUAGUUGCUCCCAAACUUUGUUGUACUAAAAGAAAUAUCUUACACUCAUUUUUAGGAGUGAAUGGGGUCGUCGAGGUUAACCUAUGUCCAAUUAUUUACCUUUUCAUCUCUGCUUUUGGCUGAUAAGCUGCUGGAAUUUUGGCCCUUAAAUUGAUGGUAUUUCAUUGUUAUGCUAUGCUGAAUGCUAAUAAGUUCCUCCCCGGACUGGCUAGAGCAUUAUGACUAGUGGUUGUUAAUUAUAAACUAUACAAGAUUUUUUUACCUUGAAAAUCGUAUUUAGGAUUGCUAUCUAUAUGGGAUACAAUUAAAACGAUGGAAGUUGGUCACAUCAAAAUCAUUCCCAUUGGAGAUGUAGAAUGGUUUCUAACCCUGGUCCUAAAUAUCCUACUUUGCCUUAUUUAAUUAGCACUCAAUCCCAUGGUAAACCAAAUUAGGCUCCAAUUCUUAUUUUGCAUGACCCAUUGUACGUCUAAAACAAUAUCUAAACGCCAAAACUGCUAAUCGGGGCUAACUUUGGGUUUGAACUAUAAGGGAAUUAUCAAUUAAGAAUGAGAUGUUGCCCUCAUCCUGAAUUAGAUUGCAUGGAAGGUUAAUUGUUGGUGGUGGCAAGGCUGAAUAUACUUUCUGCACAGACUUGGGAGAAUCCAUAAGCUUUUCUCGAUGUAAGAAUAACCUUUUAUUGGUGGAGUUGGAAGUGGGCUCUACCUUCAUGAGAACUUGGAUUGGGGUAAAUGAAAGGUCUGUUGUGUGUCCACAGACAGCAAUGCAGCACAAUACCAACACCUUUGUACUGCAGCCAUCUUUCCUAGUUGGGACGGAAUUCUUUUUUACAUAGUAGCACAUACCUCUUUGCCUUUUCUAUUUUUUCAUCCUCCUCUCUUCUUCUUUUCAUUGCCAUUAUCUGGUUUUGCGUUUGUUUUUUUCUCUUCUUUACUCAUGCCCCAAUGCUUCUCUAAGUUGACUUUCUCUAAUAGGCAUGAGAGUUUCUUCAUUGAUCUGCUUCUGCUGUGGUGAUGCUCUUGCUUUUAUCUUCUACUUUUGAACUUCAUUCCAUUUUUUCAAAGACAACAUACAGGUGUUAGUGUAGAAGAAAAGAUAAAGAAUCUAUCACUUUUAGACCUUAAUUUUCUGUAGUCUUAUGAUCAUUGAUCCAAAGUCCAAUUUCAAUCAUUUUCGGAUCAAUCUUAACAACCUUAAUCUUAAGGGUUAGAUUUUAUACUGCAGGGAUUGCCUCCCAUUUGUGUGCGAUCAUGAAAUGUCGUUUCAUGUAGCUAUGACAUGCCAUCUAUGUAGAACUAUCUAAAAAAGGAAUGUGCUUGGCAUAUCGACAUGGGAAUUGGCUCUAGGCAAUCUGUUGGGAUGCAAGAUCUCAGGCCUGGUGCUUGUGGUCUAGAAUCUAAUAUUGUGGAAUCCUCUUCGGUUUCUCACCUUCUGUUUUUGGAUUCUCUCCCAUGAUUGCCCCAAAUUUUUACUUUUUGUUCGCCUAUUCAUUUAUGAAUCGCAUUACUUCUUUUUCAUGUCUAGUUCAGGAUACAUUUGAUGACAUAUCCUUUAUGGGGAUCUUAUACUGUUUUCAAGUUUUCAAGUGGCGGGGAUCCUCUUCAUAGAGAUACCUGUAUUUGUAUUGUACCUUGCUAUUGUCCCUUUUGGUUCCUCUUUUGACAAUAUUAUCAUUCUAGAGUGACAAAUUUUCCAUGCUGUUAAUCAAAUAGUUCAAAUCAAAGUUUUAAUGGUGAUCUAGACGUAAUCAAGUCAUUGACUUGAUUGGAUAGUGACCUAUGUGUCGCAUCUUUGUCAUGAUAGGCUGCAACAGCAAUGGUGCAGCAAGCUGUGCAAUAUGUUGACCAAACACUUGAUCUUGAGACCAAGAUAAAGCUUAUUAAGACACUUAACUCUGUUGCCACUAGGAAGAUGAAUAUGUGAAAUCAAACUCUGGUAGGAACUUUUGGAGCAAAGGCAAAGACGGAGAAAAUUGCCUUUAUUUUUGAACAAGUGCGGGUAUUUUGUAUUGCUUUUAGCCAUUCAUGCAUUAUUAGUAUGAUUGGUUUUCUGAUUGAUGGAUUUUGCAGGUUUGUCUAUGUAAGGGUUAUGUCUGUGCACGUAUCAUUUCCAAGAAGGUCAACUCCCGAGUGUUUGAUGCAGAUCCUUCCAUAGAAAAGAAAAAGUCUAAAGAAGGUGAAAACAUCGUGGAGCAAGCGUCAGCUGAUAUUCCAUCUCUUCUGGAGUUGAAACGGAUAGGCGAUGACUCAUGAUAUGGUUCUAAGGAAAAUCUGCUGGUACUUAGUUCUAUCACCACAUGAUCCUAUGCAAUCAAGCCUUCUUAAUGCAACUUUAGAGGAAAAACAUCUCUCAGAAAUUCCCCAAUUCAGGUUGCUGCUGAAACAAUUGGUCACAUUGGAGGCUCUAGCGGACUCCUCUUUAAAAGAACUUUCAAAGGUGAAUUUGAGAAUGAGAAAACGUGCUAGCAGGUGCACUUGUUGGGAAUUAGACAGGGCCCAAUCAUUGUCAAAAGAAGAAUUUUGGCUUCUCUUUGGCAUAACAAGCUACCUUUCUAGGAGCCUCUUCAAAGAAUCAUUGAACAUAAUAUUAUCGUUGUUUUGAAGUAUCGCUCAAGGAUUACCUUCAAGAGACUUGCAAAGCUAUUAUGCCUCAGUAUCCAGGUCUGAUUAUGUGGAACAUUUGUUGAUGUUCUUUAUCAGUGUCACACUUUAUGAAUGAUUGCCUAGACCCCUCAUUUAACCCUAAGCAUCUUCUCUGCCUAUGAUCCCUGAUUGGGGCAUGGCUGCUGGACUUGGAUACAAGUUCCUAAUAUGUAUAAAAGAGGUUUUGGUGUGUUGAAAGCCAAAGAUUUGUCAUGGAUUCGAGAAUGUUGUCUUCAUCAUUUUGUUCUGUAAACAUUCUGGCCAACAUAUAUGUGUACUUUUUUUUUUUUUUGGCUUAAUCAACUUCUGCUCAUAAAUUUGUUGUAGCUGUAAGCAUCAUUGUCUGGCAUUGUGAAACCAUUUCUUGUCCCA
Eucalyptus grandis is the source of this 3456-nucleotide RNA transcript. It is a transcript of the gene named 26S proteasome non-ATPase regulatory subunit 12, with no coding region annotated. The record is from RefSeq and is a predicted model, not a curated record. The transcript is spliced from 5 exons. NCBI's taxonomy places the organism in Eukaryota, Viridiplantae, Streptophyta, Magnoliopsida, Myrtales, Myrtaceae.